Octodon degus (degu) is the source of this 132-nucleotide small nucleolar RNA. The record is from Ensembl. Lineage: Eukaryota; Metazoa; Chordata; Mammalia; Rodentia; Octodontidae.
AGGCAACAUUUUGAAUCAGGAUGAAAUAUUGAUUGGUGUCCAGAAUUGGUCAAUGUGGCCAAAAUUGAGACAUAGGUCAUGUUUUCAUCGCAGUAAACAUUCACAGUGGUGACAAUGAGGCCUGUAACAUUU